AUGUUAGCAAUUUUGUUGGUGAUUGUCUCCAAAUGUGCUCUCUGAGUUACGUCAAAUCUGGCGACAAUAAAAUUGCUGUCGCUGAGACCAAAGUAGUAUAAGUAUUGAGUAUUAAUAUAUAUAGAGAGAGUAUUAGUAUGUACAGAAAUUGAGUGUGUAAGAAAACAACUGUAAAAGAAAAGUAAAGGCAAUGAAUUAUUAAUUUAAAAAUACCUUAAAAAAAGUGUGUUCGAAAUUACAGUUGUGAAUUGUCAAGACAAAGAAAAAAAUUGAGGAGAACAAGGACAACUGCGACGCGUAAGAAAGGAUCACCACGAGGCAAGUGAUAGAGGCUUUGUGGGAUGCUUCCGACCCCUUAAGGCUAUCUCAAAGCCAAUUUAUGAAGAAGUUCCGUAUUUCCAAAGCGGCCGACUGUCAAUGUUGCUCAAAGCACGUUAUCAUCUAAGGAUAGAAAGAAAGCUUUGUGCAGAGGAUUUUCGAUCAUCAAAUGAAAACGAUGGCAGUCAAUUUUAAAUUUUUGGAAUCUUUCCAUGGUACGCCUGUGUGCAGGCACUCCGAUCAGAGAACUUAUCUAAAAAACCGCUGGAUUGAGCAUAGUAGCAAUACUUGGCUGCUCGGUUAGCGGCAAAAAAAAUUAAAGCGUCAAAAAAUUACAGAGGAUACCUUCUAUAGUCUAAGCAUUGGUGUGUAUAAAGUCGCUGGCGUAUUCUACAGGAAGUGCGGAAGAGCUUCUAUAGCCGAAAAAGCUGGGUGAAGUCGCAUAAAUUUGUGCAGCGCUGCACAACAUUUGCGUCCACUAUAAAGUCGAAGGAGAUUAUUUGAAUAUUCCAGCACCGGCGACCUAUGGAAAUGAUAGUUUUGAAUUUGAGCACCUUUUAUAUACUAGUGUUUACAUCUCUCUUAGUUAUUAACGCAUUGUAAAGAAAAAUUUGACUGGAAAGUUGGCGACCAAUAAUUUUAUGUAUAGUGAGUCACAUUAAGUGAAAUUAAUGUUGGCUUUUUUUAAUACCAGGAAGAAUACAAAGAAAAAACAGCGUAUUAUUAAAAAUUAAUAAAAAUAAUUUGGUGGGGUAUCCAUCUUGCUUAACGUCGUUUACACGUUUUGGCAAAUUUUGUAUAAUUUUUCUUGUGUGGACAAUAGGGAUCUUACUCUAUUCUUCUUAUAGCCUGUUAUUUAGGUCUUGGACGAAAGGGAUUGCGUGUUUUGCCGCAUGACUGUCGAAUUCAGCGCACAUAUUUUCAAUGGGGUUCAUGCCUGGUGAUUUGCGGAAGAGGAUGAGGCAUUUUGGGACAAUUAUAUAAGAGCCAUUCUUGAACUAAAUGGGAAUUGCUUGAAGUCGCUAUCUUGGGUGAAUUGGGGUGUUUCCAAUAUACUAAGUUUGUCAGCUUUUUCUUUCAAAUUUUCCUUCAAUGUGCUUAAAUAAUCCUGUUAGUUUACAAUGCCAUACAUGAACACUAAUUUUUCGACUCCAUUUACCAAUGCAUA
This is a long non-coding RNA of Glossina fuscipes, 1486 nucleotides long. RefSeq lists it as uncharacterized. The transcript has 6 exons. NCBI's taxonomy places the organism in Eukaryota, Metazoa, Arthropoda, Insecta, Diptera, Glossinidae. The record is from RefSeq and is a predicted model, not a curated record.